GCCUGCACGAAGUUGGAAUUGCUAGUAAUCGCGGAUCAGCAUGCCGCGGUGAAUACGUUCCCGGGUCUUGUACACACCGCCCGUCACACCAUGGGAGCUGGUAACACCCGAAGUCAGUAGUCUAACCGCAAGGAGGACGCUGCCGAAGGUGGGAUUAGCGACUGGGGUGAAGUCGUAACAAGGUAUC
Molecule: ribosomal RNA, 187 nt
Filed under: uncultured bacterium
Lineage: Bacteria
Description: partial 16S ribosomal RNA
Rfam family: Bacterial small subunit ribosomal RNA
Source: RNAcentral